GUACUGACGAAGAGUCCCAAACUAGGACGAAACAGAUGUCCAGUAC
This 46-nucleotide non-coding RNA is filed under the name Trichobilharzia regenti. Lineage: Eukaryota; Metazoa; Platyhelminthes; Trematoda; Strigeidida; Schistosomatidae. The record is from RNAcentral.